GACGAACGCUGGCGGCGUGCUUAACACAUGCAAGUCGAACGGAAAGGCCCUGCUUGCAGGGUGCUCGAGUGGCGAACGGGUGAGUAACACGUGGGUGGUCUGCCCCUUACUUUGGGAUAAGCCUGGGAAACUGGGUCUAAUACUGGCUAGGACCAUGCUGUAGGUGGUGUGGUGGAAAGAUUAGUUUCGGUAAGGGAUGAGCUCGCGGCCUAUCAGCUUGUUGGUGGGGUAUUGGCCUACCAAGGCGUCGACGGGUAGCCGGCCUGAGAGGGUGGACGGCCACAUUGGGACUGCGAUACGGCCCAGACUCCUACGGGAGGCAGCAGUGGGGAAUAUCGCGCAAUGGGCGCAAGCCUGAUGCAGCGACGCCGCGUGGGGGAUGACGGCCUUCGGGUUGUAAACUCCUUUCAGCCAUGACGAAGCCCUUGUGGUGACGGUAGUGGUAGAAGAAGCACCGGCUAACUACGUG
RNAcentral lists this ribosomal RNA (469 nucleotides) under uncultured bacterium. RNAcentral's name for it is "partial 16S ribosomal RNA". It matches the Rfam family "Bacterial small subunit ribosomal RNA", at positions 28 to 507 of the family's 1533-position model. The record is from RNAcentral.